This 427-nucleotide ribosomal RNA is filed under the name uncultured bacterium. RNAcentral's name for it is "bacterial SSU rRNA". It matches the Rfam family "Bacterial small subunit ribosomal RNA", at positions 354 to 797 of the family's 1533-position model. The record is from RNAcentral.
GUAGGGAAUAUUGCUCAAUGGGCGAAAGCCUGAAGCAGCAACGCCGCGUGGAGGAUGACACUUUUCGGAGCGUAAACUCCUUUUCUUAGGGAAGAACAAUGACGGUACCUAAGGAAUAAGCACCGGCUAACUCCGUGCCAGCAGCCGCGGUAAUACGGAGGGUGCAAGCGUUACUCGGAAUCACUGGGCGUAAAGGACGCGUAGGCGGAUUAUCAAGUCUUUUGUGAAAUCUAAUGGCUUAACCAUUAAACUGCUUGAGAAACUGAUAAUCUAGAGUGAGGGAGAGGCAGAUGGAAUUGGUGGUGUAGGGGUAAAAUCCGUAGAGAUCACCAAGAAUACCCAUUGCGAAGGCGAUCUGCUAGAACUCAACUGACGCUAAUGCGUGAAAGCGUGGGGAGCAAACAGGAUUAGAAACCCUAGUAGUCCC